GGGCGACCGGCCACACUGGGACUGAGACACGGCCCAGACUCCUACGGGAGGCAGCAGUGGGGAAUAUUGCGCAAUGGGCGAAAGCCUGACGCAGCGACGCCGCGUGGGGGAUGAAGGCCUUCGGGUUGUAAACCCCUUUCAGCAGGGACGAAGCGAGAGUGACGGUACCUGCAGAAGAAGCGCCGGCUAACUACGUGCCAGCAGCCGCGGUAACACGUAGGGCGCAAGCGUUGUCCGGAAUUAUUGGGCGUAAAGAGCUCGUAGGUGGUCUGCUGCGUCCGCUGUGAAAACUCAGGGCUUAACCCUGAGCUUGCAGUGGAUACGGGCAGACUAGAGGUAGGUAGGGGAGAAUGGAAUUCCCGGUGUAGCGGUGAAAUGCGCAGAUAUCGGGAGGAACACCGGUGGCGAAGGCGGUUCUCUGGGCCUUACCUGACACUGAGGAGCGAAAGCGUGGGGAGCGAACAGGAUUAGAUACCCUGGUAGUCCACGCCGUAAACGUUGGGCGCUAGGUGUGGGGUCCUUCCACGGAUUCCGUGCCGCAGCUAACGCAUUAAGCGCCCCGCCUGGGGAGUACGGCCGCAAGGCUAAAACUCAAAGGAAUGACGG
RNAcentral lists this ribosomal RNA (606 nucleotides) under uncultured bacterium. RNAcentral's name for it is "bacterial SSU rRNA". It matches the Rfam family "Bacterial small subunit ribosomal RNA", at positions 298 to 916 of the family's 1533-position model. The record is from RNAcentral.